UACGUAGGGGGCAAGCGUUGUCCGGAUUUAUUGGGCGUAAAGAGCUCGUAGGUGGUUCGGUAAGUCGGAUGUGAAAUCUCCAGGCUCAACCUGGAGGGGUCAUUCGAUACUGCCGUGACUAGAGUUCGGUAGGGGAGUGUGGAAUUCCUGGUGGAGCGGUGAAAUGCGUAGAUAUUAGGAAGAACACCAGUGGCGAAGGCGGCCAACUGGCCCGAUACUGACGCUCAUGUGCGAAAGCGUGGGGAGCAAACAGG
RNAcentral lists this ribosomal RNA (254 nucleotides) under uncultured bacterium. Its description in RNAcentral is "partial 16S ribosomal RNA". It matches the Rfam family "Bacterial small subunit ribosomal RNA", at positions 524 to 776 of the family's 1533-position model. The record is from RNAcentral.